CGUUCCAUGGCCAAAAUGGUCAAGGAAUCGCCUAUAGGCGAAGAUGCGGGUUCGAGUCCCGCUGAAACGG
RNAcentral lists this transfer RNA (70 nucleotides) under Operophtera brumata (winter moth). It matches the Rfam family "tRNA". Rfam says of the family: Transfer RNA (tRNA) molecules are approximately 80 nucleotides in length. Their secondary structure includes four short double-helical elements and three loops (D, anti-codon, and T loops). Lineage: Eukaryota; Metazoa; Arthropoda; Insecta; Lepidoptera; Geometridae. The record is from Rfam by way of RNAcentral.